CGAGCACUCUAGACGAACUGCCGUUGACAAAACGGAGGAAGGUGGGAUGACGUCAAAUCAUCAUGCCCCUUAUGUUCUGGGCUACACACGUGCUACAAUGGCCGGUACAGACGGAGGCGAAGCCGCGAGGCGGAGCAAAUCCGAAAAAGCCCGGUCUCAGUUCGGAUUGCAGGCUGCAAUUCGCCUGCAUGAAGUCGGAAUCGCUAGUAAUCGCAGGUCAGCAUACUGCGGUGAAUACGUUCCCGGGCCUU
RNAcentral lists this ribosomal RNA (251 nucleotides) under uncultured Pelotomaculum sp. RNAcentral describes it as "partial 16S ribosomal RNA". It matches the Rfam family "Bacterial small subunit ribosomal RNA", at positions 1132 to 1382 of the family's 1533-position model. Lineage: Bacteria; Bacillati; Bacillota; Clostridia; Eubacteriales; Desulfotomaculaceae. The record is from RNAcentral.